This 402-nucleotide ribosomal RNA is filed under the name uncultured Rhizobium sp. Its description in RNAcentral is "bacterial SSU rRNA". It matches the Rfam family "Bacterial small subunit ribosomal RNA", at positions 353 to 772 of the family's 1533-position model. Lineage: Bacteria; Pseudomonadati; Pseudomonadota; Alphaproteobacteria; Hyphomicrobiales; Rhizobiaceae. The record is from RNAcentral.
AGUGGGGAAUAUUGGACAAUGGGCGCAAGCCUGAUCCAGCCAUGCCGCGUGAGUGAUGAAGGUCUUAGGAUUGUAAAGCUCUUUCACCGGUGAAGAUAAUGACGGUAACCGGAGAAGAAGCCCCGGCUAACUUCGUGCCAGCAGCCGCGGUAAUACGAAGGGGGCUAGCGUUGUUCGGAAUUACUGGGCGUAAAGCGCACGUAGGCGGAUAUUUAAGUCAGGGGUGAAAUCCCAGAGCUCAACUCUGGAACUGCCUUUGAUACUGGGUAUCUUGAGUAUGGAAGAGGUGAGUGGAAUUCCGAGUGUAGAGGUGAAAUUCGUAGAUAUUCGGAGGAACACCAGUGGCGAAGGCGGCUCACUGGUCCAUUACUGACGCUGAGGUGCGAAAGCGUGGGGAGCAAA